This 376-nucleotide ribosomal RNA is filed under the name uncultured bacterium. RNAcentral's name for it is "bacterial SSU rRNA". It matches the Rfam family "Bacterial small subunit ribosomal RNA", at positions 524 to 898 of the family's 1533-position model. The record is from RNAcentral.
GACAGAGGGUGCAAACGUUGCUCGGAAUUACUGGGCGUAAAGCGCGUGUAGGCGGGCCUUCAAGUCGGACGUGAAAUCCCUGAGCUCAACUCAGGAACUGCAUCCGAAACUGAAGGCCUGGAGUAGUGGAGAGGGAAGCAGAAUUCCUGGUGUAGAGGUGAAAUUCGUAGAUAUCAGGAGGAACACCGGUGGCGAAGGCGGCUUCCUGGACACUUACUGACGCUGAGACGCGAAAGCGUGGGGAGCAAACAGGAUUAGAUACCCUGGUAGUCCACGCCGUAAACGAUGAGUGCUGGGUGUCGUAGGUUUUGACCCCUGCGGUGCCGUAGCUAACGCGUUAAGCACUCCGCCUGGGGAGUACGGCCGCAAGGCUAAA